RNAcentral lists this small RNA (1100 nucleotides) under Arabidopsis thaliana (thale cress). Its description in RNAcentral is "ATSL033700". The record is from RNAcentral. Lineage: Eukaryota; Viridiplantae; Streptophyta; Magnoliopsida; Brassicales; Brassicaceae.
AGCAUGUACUUUACAUUUUCGAGAACAAGUUUUUAUCUAGUUUUAUUCCGCAGACAAUGUGUUCUAGACCUUUUGUAAUCUGGAUUUCUCUUUAUCUAUUCAGUAUUCAGUAUUCAGUAUUCAGUAUUUGUUCUUAAUUUCGUUUUACUGUUGUUCAUCCUGUUACCAUCUUGCUAUUACUCUGUUGUUAUCAUGUCUUCAUUCCAUUCAACGUUUAUGCUAUCUGCUAUGAUGUCUGAGUAGUGAAUAGGUUUCUGAGGAUAGGUUAGAGUAGUGUAGAAUUCUCAGUAUGCUAGGUGGUUGAGUUUAAUUGAUAGAUCCCUUCUGGAUUAGUUAUUCUUAAUGCCUAUUGCUUUCUGAUCAACUGGAAUUUGAGCCCAGACAUUUCUGCGCCCAAAAGGUGUUCGAUAAAAUAUCUGAACCACUAAUUCCAGAGAUUCGUGGCCUUGUACCAAGGUAUUGGUUGCAGGAAGCGUAUUGGCUUUAACUUGUUGAUUCGUAAUGCCUAUUAGGUUAGCUCUCGUCAAUGGUGAUUGAGUCUUGGACUAGGUUAAUUUGAGGGUCUCUGUUGCGGUGGCACUUAGAUUUGGUUAAUGAACUUGUUGUCUACGGAUAAUUUAUUGAGCAUGUCAAUCACUUGUAAACUGAGGAAACGAAACUACUCAAUGACCCCAUCCUCGGGAAUUCUCUAUCUAAUUGAAUUCUUUGUUUACUCUACUGUUGUUUACUGCAUCUUGUCAUCUGCUGCUUAAUUUCUGCAAUUCUUUCUUGUUACUCGACCUCAUACUCGACCACCCAGUUGUCUGGCAACAAACUGUGCAGUCGAGUAUCUAUGUUAUACUUUCUGUUUGUUACUUGACUUGUCACUCGACCUCACCCAGUGCUCUGCAAAGAGCUGUGUUGGUCGAGUGUUUUAUUGUUUCUGCUUGAAUUUCUGUUUUCUGCGUGUUCACUUAGAACUGCUAGAACACACCAAAAUCUGUUAUUGCUUGGCUUGACUUAGUGACUUCUGAUCACAUCUUGAUUGUUAGCAUCACACCCAUUUGGAUUGACAACCUAAAAUACUACAACGACAUGAUUGGUGUUUAGAAUAAUUGAUC